Molecule: non-coding RNA, 227 nt
Organism: Miniopterus natalensis
Lineage: Eukaryota; Metazoa; Chordata; Mammalia; Chiroptera; Miniopteridae
Source: RefSeq, a predicted model, not a curated record
CCCUCGCCCCCGGACCCGGAGACACUCACUUGAUGGCCCACCCCUUCCAUUUCACCAGUCUUGUUCUUUGUAACUUCAAAAGAAGCAAAAAGCAGCUGUGCGUCAUCUCCAUCAAGCCAUGACCAUCUUCACGCAUCUUCUUCCCGCCUCUGUUCUGUGUCCAUAUAAACACGUAUAUAUAUAUAUGUAACGUCUUUGUUUUUAAUAAAAUGGGGCCGUAUGAUUCA